This 301-nucleotide ribosomal RNA is filed under the name uncultured bacterium. Its description in RNAcentral is "partial 16S ribosomal RNA". It matches the Rfam family "Bacterial small subunit ribosomal RNA", at positions 509 to 807 of the family's 1533-position model. The record is from RNAcentral.
CAGCAGCCGCGGUAAUACGAAGGGGGCUAGCGUUGCUCGGAAUGACUGGGCGUAAAGGGCGCGUAGGCGGCGGCCAAAGCCAGGCGUGAAAUACCUGGGCUCAACCUGGGGACUGCAUUUGAUACGUAUGGACUUGAGUGGAGAAGAGGGUCGUGGAAUUUCCAGUGUAGAGGUGAAAUUCGUAGAUAUUGGAAAGAACACCGGUGGCGAGGGCGGCGACCUGGUCUUUAACUGACGCUGAGGCGCGAAAGCGUGGGGAGCAAACAGGAUUAGAUACCCGGGUAGUCCCUGUCUCUUAUAC